AUAAGCUCUGGUCUAGUAGUUAUUUAAAAUCGAUGCGGAAGAUAAAGGUAUUUCUUUUCCUGUGGGUGAAAGGUCAACAUUGAAGGGUUAAAGAACGCUAGGGUUCAAGGCCCAUAGGAGAACGCAGCGAACGGCGGGACUAUCGCGUUUGGCAACAAGGCUCAGAUCGCACACAUUUGCAACGAUUAAAGGACAAUCACCCAACACACUUCCAGGCUGUGUAAGAGCAAUUUGACCACGGAGAGUGAUGGAGUGCUGCAUCAGAUGACCUGGCCUCCACAAUCACACAAUUGAAAAGGUUUGGGAUGAGUUGGACUGCAGAGUGAAGGAAAAGCAGCCAACAAGUGCUCAGCAUACGUGGGAACUUCUUCAAGACUAUUGCAAAAGCAUUCAUUAUGAAGCUGGUUGAGAGAAUGUGAAGAGUGUGCAUAGCUGUCAUCAAGGUUAAGAGCAUCUACUUUGAAGAAUCAAAAAUAUAUUUUGAUUUCUUUAACACUUUUUUGGUUACUACAUGAUUCCAUGUGUGUAAUUUCAUAGUUUGUUUUGAUGUCUUCACUAUUAUUCUACAAUGUAGAAAAUAAUAAAUAUAAAGAAACCCUUGAAUGUGUAGGUGUGUCCAAAUUUGACUGGUACUGUACAUAUACACUACCGUUCAAAAGUUUGGGGUCACUUAGAAAUGUCCUUGUUUAUUUUUAAAAAGCACAUUUGUCCAUUGGAAUAACAUAACAUUUAUCAGAAACAGUGUAGACAUUGUUAAUGUUGUAAAUGACUAUUGUAGUUGGAAACGGCAGAUUUUUUAUGGAAUAUCUACAUAUGCAUACAGAAGCCCAUUAUCAGCAACCAUCACUCCUGUGUUCCAUUGGCACGUUGUGUUAGCUAGAAACCCCUUUUGCAAUUGUUAUCACAGCUGAAAACUUUUGUUCUGAUUAAAAAAGCAAUAAAAUUGGCCUUCUUUAAACUA
Salvelinus fontinalis (brook trout) is the source of this 961-nucleotide long non-coding RNA. RefSeq lists it as uncharacterized. Lineage: Eukaryota; Metazoa; Chordata; Actinopteri; Salmoniformes; Salmonidae. The transcript has 2 exons. The record is from RefSeq and is a predicted model, not a curated record.